Molecule: ribosomal RNA, 253 nt
Filed under: uncultured bacterium
Lineage: Bacteria
Description: partial 16S ribosomal RNA
Rfam family: Bacterial small subunit ribosomal RNA
Source: RNAcentral
UCCGGAGGGUGCAAGCGUUAUCCGGAUUCACUGGGUUUAAAGGGUGCGUAGGUGGGCAGGUAAGUCAGUGGUGAAAUCUCCGAGCUUAACUCGGAAACUGCCGUUGAUACUAUUUGUCUUGAAUAUUGUGGAGGUAAGCGGAAUAUGUCAUGUAGCGGUGAAAUGCUUAGAUAUGACAUAGAACACCAAUUGCGAAGGCAGCUUACUACACAACGAUUGACGCUGAGGCACGAAAGCGUGGGGAUCAAACAGG